CACAGCCCCCACCCCUGCCCUCAGCCUCCUUCAAAGUGGCCGCUGGGGCUGGGGUCUGUCUUUGCAGAGGUGCCAGGCCACAUGCCCUGCCCACCUCUACCAGCUAUGCCGCCUCUGAAGUUCCUCCAGCGGCACUGAGGAGGGGCCCUGUGGUCGAGGGUGCAGUUAAACGAGGCCCGACCGGGUAGUUGAGCUCAGCUUGGCUGUACUUGUCUUCCUUGGACCUGCUGGGCACCCCCAGGCCUCUCUUUCCAGAGCCACAGGGGCCACCUGACAUCUCACAGGCUCAUCUACCUUCCAAGACCAGCUCAUCACUUCUGGCACCCCUCUCUAUAGUUGCCUCCCAAAGUCUCCCAUCUUAUACCCACGGCCCCCUGGGCAUCAAGCUGGACAUCUGGGAACAACCUUCAGCACCAAGUCCCCCCACCACUCAUCUGGACUUGCAAAAGUCUCCUUACUGGUCUCGCUGUCAUCCAGGAGCCAUGGUGAAUUACUUAAAAAUUCUUUUCUUCAGCGAGGCGCAGUGGCUCAUUCCUAUAAUCCCAGCACUUUGGGAGGCUGAGGUGAGCAGAUCACCUGAGGUCAGGAGUACGAGACCAGCCUGGCCUACAUGUGAACUUGUCUACACCUCAUGAAAACCUCUCCACGGUGACGAUGUGAAGCACCUGGAGCUCACACAAUGCUGGAAUGCAAUACAGCAAUGAGAGUGGCCAGCCACUGCUACUACAUGCAGCCCCAUGGAGGACUCUCACAGAUACAACUCUGAACGAAAGAGGCCAGGCGUGAACAGCACAGGUGGAACUGAGGAGUCCCAACCCAGGGCAGGAAGGGCACAAGAACAUCGUCCUGUUUGUGGACUCACCUGGUAGUUACCCGGAUGUGUUCACUUUUGAUAAUUUAUUAAGGAAUAUUUUUAUGAUUGGUGCACUUUCCUGUAUGCAUGUUAUAUUUCAAAAACAAGUUUUCAUGAAAAAAAAAAAAAGCAAACAAAUACAAAUGCUGUCUGCUGUCCCCUCCUGUCCUCCCAUGCCCUUGCCCUGUGCAGGCCAGCACCGCCUCCCCCUGGAUGGCUGCCCUGGCCUUCCUCUCAUGUGCUCACCUCCCCAUACCUCCCACUCCCACUCCAAAUUAUAGUCGCCAGGCUUAGCAAUAAAAGUACACAAAUGCCAA
This 1170-nucleotide long non-coding RNA is filed under the name Homo sapiens (human). RNAcentral's name for it is "HSALNT0363871". The record is from RNAcentral. Lineage: Eukaryota; Metazoa; Chordata; Mammalia; Primates; Hominidae.